This 72-nucleotide transfer RNA is filed under the name Camelus bactrianus (Bactrian camel). It matches the Rfam family "tRNA". Rfam says of the family: Transfer RNA (tRNA) molecules are approximately 80 nucleotides in length. Their secondary structure includes four short double-helical elements and three loops (D, anti-codon, and T loops). Further hydrogen bonds mediate the characteristic L-shaped molecular structure. tRNAs have two regions of fundamental functional importance: the anti-codon, which is responsible for specific mRNA codon recognition, and the 3' end, to which the tRNAs corresponding amino acid is attached (by aminoacyl-tRNA synthetases). tRNAs cope with the degeneracy of the genetic code in two manners: having more than one tRNA (with a specific anti-codon) for a particular amino acid; and 'wobble' base-pairing, i.e. permitting non-standard base-pairing at the 3rd anti-codon position. RNAcentral also lists the same sequence under 2 other names. Lineage: Eukaryota; Metazoa; Chordata; Mammalia; Artiodactyla; Camelidae. The record is from Rfam by way of RNAcentral.
GAGGGUAUAUCUCAGUGGUAGAGUGUGUGCUUAGCAUACACGAUGUCCUAGGUUUAAUCCCCAGCACCUCCA